Molecule: ribosomal RNA, 429 nt
Filed under: Chloroflexota bacterium
Lineage: Bacteria; Bacillati; Chloroflexota
Description: Chloroflexi bacterium partial 16S ribosomal RNA
Rfam family: Bacterial small subunit ribosomal RNA
Source: RNAcentral
UGGGGAAUAUUGCACAAUGGGCGCAAGCCUGAUGCAACCAUGCCGCGUGUAUGAAGAAGGCCUUCGGGUUGUAAAGUACUUUCAGCGGGGAGGAAGGGAGUAAAGUUAAUACCUUUACUCAUUGACGUUACCCGCAGAAGAAGCACCGGCUAACUCCGUGCCAGCAGCCGCGGUAAUACGGAGGGUGCAAGCAUUAAUCGGAAUUACUGGGCGUAAAGCGCACGCAGGCGGUUUGUUAAGUCAGAUGUGAAAUCCCCGGGCUCAACCUGGGAACUGCAUCUGAUACUGGCAAGCUUGAGUCUCGUAGAGGGGGGUAGAAUUCCAGGUGUAGCAGUGAAAUGCGUAGAGAUCUGGAGGAAUACCGGUGGCGAAGGCGGCCCCCUGGACGAAGACUGACGCUCAGGUGCGAAAGCGUGGGGAGCAAACGGG